ACUCAAAUGAAUAGACGGGGACCCGCACAAGCGGUGGAGCAUGUGGUUUAAUUCGAUGCAACGCGAAUAACCUUACCUGGCCUUGACAUGCCUGGAAGUCUGCAGAGAUGCGGAUGUGCCUUCGGGAACCAGGACACAGGUGCUGCAUGGCUGUCGUCAGCUCGUGUCGUGAGAUGUUGGGUUAAGUCCCGCAACGAGCGCAACCCUUGUCCUUAGUUGCCAUCAUUAAGUUGGGAACUCUAAGGAGACCGCCGGUGACAAACCGGAGGAAGGUGGGGAUGACGUCAAGUCAUCAUGGCCUUUAUGGCCAGGGCUACACACGUGCUACAAUGGCAGGUACAGAGGGAAGCCAAGCGGCAACGCGGAGCCAAUCCCAGAAAACCUGUCGUAGUCCGGAUUGGAGUCUGCAACUCGACUCCAUGAAGUUGGAAUCGCUAGUAAUCGCAGAUCAGCAUUGCUGCGGUGAAUACGUUCCCGGGUCUUGUACACACCGCCCGU
RNAcentral lists this ribosomal RNA (498 nucleotides) under uncultured bacterium. Its description in RNAcentral is "partial 16S ribosomal RNA". It matches the Rfam family "Bacterial small subunit ribosomal RNA", at positions 899 to 1397 of the family's 1533-position model. The record is from RNAcentral.